GACGAACGCUGGCGGCGUGCUUAACACAUGCAAGUCGAACGGAAAGGCCCUGCUGUUUUGUUGUGCUCGAGUGGCGAACGGGUGAGUAACACGUGAGUAACCUGCCCUUGACUUUGGGAUAACUUCAGGAAACUGGGGCUAAUACCGGAUAGGAGCUCCUGCUGCAUGGUGGGGGUUGGAAAGUUUCGGCGGUUGGGGCUGGACUCGCGGCUUAUCAGCUUGUUGGUGGGGUAGUGGCUUACCAAGGCUUUGACGGGUAGCCGGCCUGAGAGGGUGACCGGCCACAUUGGGACUGAGAGACGGCCCAGAAUGCUACGGGAGGCAGCAGUGGGGAAUAUUGCACAAUGGGCGGAAGCCUGAUGCAGCAACGCCGCGUGCGGGAUGACGGCCUUCGGGUUGUAAACCGCUUUCGCCUGUGACGAAGCGUGAGUGACGGUAAUGGGUAAAGAAGCCCCGGCUAACUACGUG
RNAcentral lists this ribosomal RNA (468 nucleotides) under uncultured bacterium. RNAcentral's name for it is "partial 16S ribosomal RNA". It matches the Rfam family "Bacterial small subunit ribosomal RNA", at positions 28 to 507 of the family's 1533-position model. The record is from RNAcentral.